This 468-nucleotide ribosomal RNA is filed under the name uncultured bacterium. Its description in RNAcentral is "partial 16S ribosomal RNA". It matches the Rfam family "Bacterial small subunit ribosomal RNA", at positions 28 to 507 of the family's 1533-position model. The record is from RNAcentral.
GACGAACGCUGGCGGCGUGCUUAACACGUGCAAGUCGAACGGAAAGGCCCUGCUUUUGUGGGGUGCUCGAGUGGCGAACGGGUGAGUAACACGUGAGUAACCUGCCCUUGACUUUGGGAUAACUUCAGGAAACUGGGGCUAAUACCGGAUAGGAGCUCCUGCUGCAUGGUGGGGGUUGGAAAGUUUCGGCGGUUGGGGAUGGACUCGCGGCUUAUCAGCUUGUUGGUGGGGUAGUGGCUUACCAAGGCUUUGACGGGUAGCCGGCCUGAGAGGGUGACCGGCCACAUUGGGACUGAGAUACGGCCCAGACUCCUACGGGAGGCAGCAGUGGGGAAUAUUGCACAAUGGGCGGAAGCCUGAUGCAGCAACGCCGCGUGCGGGAUGACGGCCUUCGGGUAGUAAACCGCUUUCGCCUGUGACGAAGCGUGAGUGACGGUAAUGGGUAAAGAAGCACCGGCUAACUACGUG